Hippocampus comes (tiger tail seahorse) is the source of this 352-nucleotide long non-coding RNA. RefSeq lists it as uncharacterized. The transcript is spliced from 3 exons. NCBI's taxonomy places the organism in Eukaryota, Metazoa, Chordata, Actinopteri, Syngnathiformes, Syngnathidae. The record is from RefSeq and is a predicted model, not a curated record.
CACUGCAGACAGCGCCCGUCCAGGAAGUCUGCGUAGGAUGCGCACGGAUACGCCGUCAGACUGCACGUGCCGUUGAGGGCGCACAGUCCAUGUCAGUGUGCAGCACGUCUACAAACAUGGCAUCCGACGGGUCCAGCCUCUCAUCUGGUGUGGCACUAGUGAAGAGAGGCCCGGCCGGGUCUAAACCUGAAAGUACAAAGAAGGCACUUGAGAUGUUUCAUAGUAGGAGUGGACAGAUAUCGUAGGUUGGCGCCCACAAAGCCGGCGAGGUGCGCUCCAAGGCUCACGCCGAUGAGGUGCAUGGAGUCCAGUGAGGCUCCUUCCUCCUGAGGAGAAACUCAAGAAUGAAUGA